Molecule: ribosomal RNA, 492 nt
Filed under: uncultured bacterium
Lineage: Bacteria
Description: partial 16S ribosomal RNA
Rfam family: Bacterial small subunit ribosomal RNA
Source: RNAcentral
GGGGGGGGGGGGGGGGGGGGGGGAGGCGGGCGGGGCGGGGGGCGGCACAGUGGGAGCUUGCUCUUGCGGGUGGCGAGUGGCGGGCGGGUGAGGAGUACAUCGGGAUCUACUUUUUCGUGGGGGUUAACGUCGGGCAACUUGCGCUCAUACAGCCUCCGACCUGCGGGUGACAGCAGGGGAUCUUCGGACCUUGCGCGAUUGAAUGGGCCGAUGUCGGAUUAGCUAGUUGGCGGGGUACAGGCCCACCAAGGCGACGAUCCGUAGCUGGUCUGAGAGGAUGAUCAGCCACACUGGAACUGAGGCACGGUCCAGACUCCUACGGGAGGCAGCAGUGGGGAAUAUUGGACAAUGGGCGCAAGCCUGAUCCAGCCAUACCGCGUGGGUGAAGAAGGCCUUCGGGUUGUAAAGCCCUUUUGUUGGGAAAGAAAAGCAGCAGGUUAAUACCCCGCUGUUCUGACGGUACCCAAAGAAUAAGCACCGGCUAACUUCGUG